RNAcentral lists this ribosomal RNA (1116 nucleotides) under Pseudomonas aeruginosa. RNAcentral describes it as "bacterial LSU rRNA". It matches the Rfam family "Bacterial large subunit ribosomal RNA", at positions 1815 to 2925 of the family's 2925-position model. The record is from RNAcentral. Lineage: Bacteria; Pseudomonadati; Pseudomonadota; Gammaproteobacteria; Pseudomonadales; Pseudomonadaceae.
ACAGCACUCUGCAAACACGAAAGUGGACGUAUAGGGUGUGACGCCUGCCCGGUGCCGGAAGGUUAAUUGAUGGGGUUAGCGCAAGCGAAGCUCUUGAUCGAAGCCCCGGUAAACGGCGGCCGUAACUAUAACGGUCCUAAGGUAGCGAAAUUCCUUGUCGGGUAAGUUCCGACCUGCACGAAUGGCGUAACGAUGGCGGCGCUGUCUCCACCCGAGACUCAGUGAAAUUGAAAUCGCUGUGAAGAUGCAGUGUAUCCGCGGCUAGACGGAAAGACCCCGUGAACCUUUACUGUAGCUUUGCACUGGACUUUGAGCCUGCUUGUGUAGGAUAGGUGGGAGGCUUUGAAGCGUGGACGCCAGUUCGCGUGGAGCCAUCCUUGAAAUACCACCCUGGCAUGCUUGAGGUUCUAACUCUGGUCCGUGAUCCGGAUCGAGGACAGUGUAUGGUGGGCAGUUUGACUGGGGCGGUCUCCUCCUAAAGAGUAACGGAGGAGUACGAAGGUGCGCUCAGACCGGUCGGAAAUCGGUCGCAGAGUAUAAAGGCAAAAGCGCGCUUGACUGCGAGACAGACACGUCGAGCAGGUACGAAAGUAGGUCUUAGUGAUCCGGUGGUUCUGUAUGGAAGGGCCAUCGCUCAACGGAUAAAAGGUACUCCGGGGAUAACAGGCUGAUACCGCCCAAGAGUUCAUAUCGACGGCGGUGUUUGGCACCUCGAUGUCGGCUCAUCACAUCCUGGGGCUGAAGCCGGUCCCAAGGGUAUGGCUGUUCGCCAUUUAAAGUGGUACGCGAGCUGGGUUUAGAACGUCGUGAGACAGUUCGGUCCCUAUCUGCCGUGGACGUUUGAGAUUUGAGAGGGGCUGCUCCUAGUACGAGAGGACCGGAGUGGACGAACCUCUGGUGUUCCGGUUGUCACGCCAGUGGCAUUGCCGGGUAGCUAUGUUCGGAAAAGAUAACCGCUGAAAGCAUCUAAGCGGGAAACUUGCCUCAAGAUGAGAUCUCACUGGGAACUUGAUUCCCCUGAAGGGCCGUCGAAGACUACGACGUUGAUAGGCUGGGUGUGUAAGCGUUGUGAGGCGUUGAGCUAACCAGUACUAAUUGCCCGUGAGGCUUGACCAU